CAGACUAUAACGACUUUGACGCGCCGACGCAACCGACCCGUCUCCUCGUUCAUCUUCGUUUCUUUGGUGACUUCUCCGGUCCUCCUCAUUCCCUCCCGUCCCUCUCGUCUUCAUCCCUCCAUCCCUAUCCAUCGUCCGAUUCGUUCCGUCUUGGUAGCUCCUCCACCGCCAUAAACAUCCGAGCCGGUCGGAUUUCCCUGGAGCGGGUACGAUUCCGGCGCCCUCUUGCGGCUUCAUGCCCCCUCCUCUUAUCUUUUGGGGGUUAAAUCCGUGUCGGAGUGAUCCAGAUACCGAGCCUCAAAGCCGCAGGGUUCUUGCCGGGAGUGAACUACGUUUCUUGGUUUUCCGAGGUGAUUGGUGAUUAGGGUUAUUGGAUAAACUCUGAUUUGGGUGUUUCGGGCUUCGACGGUCAUCCGAGGGCUCGGUGCCUCAUGAUUAAGCAGCUGGAGUCGCGAGGUCAGAUCACCACCAUACGUGCUAGUCACGAAAACACCAGAUACCGCGCUCCCAAUUAUCGCGGGUUCUUGGAUGUUCUUGCUUUCUUGGAUCUGGUCGUGAUCCUUUAAAGAAAUUGCGCGCAGGAAGUUCUUUCUUCAUUUUCGUCACCUCGAAUCGGCUCUUCUCACUUGUACUCUUGACUUUGUACCAUCUCACAUUGAUUGGAAUAGUACUUCAUACAAACACUGGAGACGUGAGCUCAGACCACCAUCAUAGGUGCUAGUCGGGUAAAACACCAGAUACUGCGCUACCAAUUAUCACUGUUUCUUUGAUGCUCUUGUUUUCUUGGAUCUGGUCGUGAUCCUUUAAAGAAAUUGCAUGUAUGUAACACUGCAAGGGAAGAUGCACAUUCCUGUUUAUGCACAAGCAGAUGUGGUUAACGAUGGCCGUCGAUCAUCAAGUGAACUUGUGGCACCUGAUGGUAAAUCAUCUAGCACAGGCUACAUGAUUGAAAAUGGUGAUGUUGGUCCUUUGGCUCAGACAUCUGAUUCUUUAAUCAGGCAUCAAUUUCAAAAUCAUCCUGGUCCUGGUAAAAGAGAUGAGUUAAAGAACCACUUAUUGGAUCCAGAAAUCAUGGAACUUUACUACAGAUCCCGCCAGCAAGAAGAAGAGAUCCUGCUUCUCCGUCAACAAAUCACCAAUGCAUGUAUCAAAGAGCUACAGUUAUUAAAUGAGAAGCAUAUUUUGGAGAGAAGGCUUUCUGAAUUGCAGAUAGCUCUUGAUGAGAGGCAGGAUGAUGCUGUAGCUAGUGCCUUGAAAGAAUUGACUAAAAAGAGAAGCUAUCUUGAUGAAAACUUAAGAUUGACUGAUAAUCUUAAGGUUGUAGAGGAAGAGAUGUAUAUAUUAACUUCUUCAUUCCUAAGUUUAUUAGCUGAAUAUGACAUCCGACCCCCUGUUAUCAGUUCUUCUGCAAUUUCCUACGGUAUAAAGCAAUUGUACCAGAGUAUGCAUUGGAAGAUUAGAUAUAAUGAAUCAGUUAUACCUGAGCUUCGUCUAUAUGAUCAACAUCCUAUGGAUUUGCAUGGCACAUCAACAGCUAAUCAGUUGAGAGUCUCUCAAGACUUUGCAAAGAUAGAUAAAAAGGAUGUAGAUGUUACUCUAAACUCUGAGAUGCCUUAUCCAGUUGCUUAUGAGAAGCCAAGAGAUCUGCCAUCAGAAUUUCAUAAGGAGGUUGGUAAUACUGGUGUUUCCAGCUCUUCUGAAGGUUAUGCUCAUAAGGCCACAUUUAGUACUUUAAAUGCUGAUGCCCAAUUUCAUAUGGCUGCCAUGCACGAUAACCAAGGGUCCUUUGUUUUGGAAGCAGGUGAAUAUGACUUACCUGGUAUUGAAGGGUUUCAAAUAUAUGGUGAGCCUAAACCAGGAUGCAAGUUACAAGCCUGUGGAUAUCCAACAAAUGGUACUACUCUUUGCAUCUUUCAGUGGGUUCGUGAACUUGAUAAUGGCACUAGGCAGUAUAUAGAAGGAGUCAAUGUUCCGGAAUAUGUGGUAACUGCUGAUGAUGUUGAUACUAUUCUUGCUGUAGAAUGCACACCCAUCGACAACAAUGACCAUCAGGGUGAUUUGGUGAGGCAAUUUGCCAACAAUCAAAACAAGAUAACGUGCGAUUCCGAGAUGCAGAAUCAGAUUGAUGCCUAUAUAUCUGCUGGGAAGGCAAUAUUUAACAUUAAAGCAUUGGUGGAUUCCUCCAACUGGCAGCAAACAGUUCUUGUUGUGAAACGAUCCAUCUAUCAGAUUAAGGUGAAACAUUCUGAUGAUUUGGUAUUGGGAGAAAAAUAUUCACCUGAUUUAAAAGUAAGAUCAAAGUUCCUCUUGGGUACACAACCCAGUUUGUGUUGACUUGUUCAGAUGGAACCAAUCUCCCACUUAGCACAGAUGGAACUUGUCAGCCGUAUAGCCUGGAGAAUGACGUUCGGUUACGGGAUAUCAUCGUGUUGACCAUGAGACACUUCCAGUCUAAGUUUUCUGCAGGUCCUAGAUAUUAAAAGAAAAGUGAAGGCCUAGACAUCAUCUUAACAGUUUUGAGGCAAUUGUACCAUUAUUUUUUGUUUUUUAUUUAAAUCACGACAUAUUUUUGCCUUUGAGUUCCAGCGAUUCUUCCUCUGUUCUUAUAGAUUCAAGUGAUAAUUGCGUACCGUCGACAAAGAAUGCUGGUAAAUAUAAUAAAUUCUAGUUUUGGUA
This is an RNA transcript of Musa acuminata AAA Group (dessert banana), 2676 nucleotides long. RefSeq lists it as uncharacterized. Lineage: Eukaryota; Viridiplantae; Streptophyta; Magnoliopsida; Zingiberales; Musaceae. The record is from RefSeq and is a predicted model, not a curated record. The transcript has 21 exons.